GGCUGACACAGAAGAGGGUACCUGCGGAGGCAAAUGGAAGAAAGAGCCCAACAGGUGGAAUCAUAUUAGAGAGUCUUGAACGCCAAGAUGAGGCAAGCUUUUCAUUCGAGGGUACAUGAAGACUCAGGCCCCACCCAUGGAGGGUAGAACACACAUUUGCUGAAGACUUUAUGUGCUGGGCUGAUUCAACUGGGCUGGAUUCCAGGCCCAUCACUGACUAUGCUUCUGUCAUUUCAACGGAGAGAAGAGGAAAUGAGGAUAAGUUCCAGA
RNAcentral lists this long non-coding RNA (270 nucleotides) under Pan troglodytes (chimpanzee). RNAcentral describes it as "long non-coding RNA NONPTRT002719". The record is from RNAcentral. Lineage: Eukaryota; Metazoa; Chordata; Mammalia; Primates; Hominidae.